This is a non-coding RNA of Poecilia reticulata (guppy), 2045 nucleotides long. The record is from RefSeq and is a predicted model, not a curated record. Lineage: Eukaryota; Metazoa; Chordata; Actinopteri; Cyprinodontiformes; Poeciliidae.
UUGACCUGAUUGAGCAAAACCAAAGUGAUUUUUGGAUUCAGUUCAUCAAAAUGACCCUGAUAUUUUGUCUGUUUACCAGUGUUAUUGUAUAAAUUCAUGUGCCCUUUAACCCCCCAAGUUUACCUUCAUGAAUCAGAGUAAUACAAAUGGGUCUAAUUAUCAAAAAUAAGCUCAAGACAGCAAUGGAAACUUGUCUUAUCACAGAGACCGCUACAGACAAACUACAGCAGCAACAUGGAACCUGUUAUUAUGCCUCCAAAGAUUUACAUCCUGGUUGAAAUUUGACGCCUUGAUCAACCAAUCCUUUUUUUACUUUGCUUUCUGAUAUCAAACUCUCUUCCACACAGACUCUUGAGCCUCGAGACAUUGCCUUCGUACAUGUCCUUCUUCAGCUUUCCAUGUCAACUUUUCCAAAUGUGAGUGAUGCAUCUUUUCCAGCGAAGAUCUUGGUGAGGAACCUGGGCAGCCUACACAGGUGGAUCUCAUCAGCCCCAUCAGUGGUGGGGAUAAAGGAGCAGCAGAACCUUCACUCGGUGCUGGAUGAUUAACGUGCACUGAUCAGUUUCUGGAUUCACCUACGGGAUCUGUUCCAUUGUUGUCUCCUCUCGUGUGGAUCACCUGCAAGUCUGCCUGCCUGCUGCUCCCUCCGCACCACUCAAUCGCUCCUGGAAGGAUCUAGGAGAACUACUUCUCUGUUAUUACCAGGAAAUAAAACCCUUACCUUUAUUUCGGACUUGUUGAUUUGCAUGUGGGUCAGAAGGUUAAAGCCCACCAUGACAUUAUCAAUGUGAUGAAAGAGGUUUUAUUUGGUGUGAGAGUUUGCAGAGGAUAGGACUGAAUGAAGACAGAUGAUUUGCUGUGGCUGCCCCUGAAAGGAGAAAAGGGCUGAAAGAGAAAAAGAUUUACUUUCAACCAAAUGUUUUCUCAUUUUGGGAUCUAAACUGCAAAGCAGAUAGAUACACAAUAAUGGUGGCAGGAGGAAUAAAAUUAAGUUUGGUUUGUCUGAUUUCAAAACUAAAGUGAGAACAUUGAAUGUGCUGAAUGAAACCMGGGAAUAUAUGUUAUUUCAUAUCUAAACAGCUUCGUAGAUGAGUGUAACUUGUUUGAUUCGAGCCGAACAUUUGAACAAAGCCAGACAUUCGGACUCCUCUGCCGAGGGUCACGUUAAAUGUCGCCACUGCAAAUUUUGAUUUAAUGUCAAACCGACUUUCUGACUAAAGUAUUCCCCACGGAGCCCAAAAACUUUAGGCGAAAUAAGGAAAUGUCAGUAGCGAUCGAGCUCCCUCACUGAAAACAGAAGUUAAAAAACUAAUUCCACAGGGGAACAAAGGCAACGCACCUGAUGAACGAUCAAAGUUAGGAGGACAGUUUUCCUCCAGCUACUCUAAAGCAAAUUAUCAGACUUGUUCGGUUUUCAGAGUCACGAAGUGGGCUGCUUGAAUGUUAAAUAUUGAAAUUGUUUAAUGAGUGAGUAUAUCCGGCAGGAAACCUCCAACUUAAAUGACAUAAUCAGAACAUGCUGUCGCACUCUGAGUCUCACACAAGUGUUUCCUCUUAGUUGAAAGUGCGCGCCCUCGUUCCCUCACACACCCACUCCUUGUAACUUACAAUGUGCUGCAACCAGCAUGAAACAGCUGUAAUUUUUUCUUCACUUUAAGUUGCUCCACUUGAAAUAACAAAACAGUCUCUUCACCUGUGCUGGGGGACAAUAAAUGAGUCAACCAUUUUUUUUCUUUUUUCUCUCUUAUUGUUAAAUCUAAUGAGAUCCUUGCAGGUGGCUAAGAGCACAGAAAUSUUGAGGGUUUGGAAGUUAUCUGACCUACGUGGAGGAGAUAUUAAGAUGCUGCAUCAGCAAAAAAGACAAGAAAAAAAGCACAUAAGUAAAUAAAAUGAAUACGGGACAAAGUUAGCCAGGAAUAGUAGCACGACUUGGUGUGCAGCUGUUGUUUCGCUGAAAGUGCAAAUAAUAAGAAAGAUGUACAUAAUUUGAGCAAAGGUUUAAAAAUAGUUUCUUAAAUUGAUUUUAUCAGUGGUGUUUUUAAAAC